Chinchilla lanigera (long-tailed chinchilla) is the source of this 2635-nucleotide RNA transcript. It is a transcript of the gene named translation initiation factor IF-2-like, with no coding region annotated. The record is from RefSeq and is a predicted model, not a curated record. NCBI's taxonomy places the organism in Eukaryota, Metazoa, Chordata, Mammalia, Rodentia, Chinchillidae. The transcript has 12 exons.
GGUGGGAGCCGCGCUCGCCCGCCCACCCCUCGACUCCGGAGAGCGUAAAAGUUUGUCACAGCUCGCGCGUUCCGAGCUCCAACACGCCCUCAGGUAAAGGUGGAAGUACACGGUCACGCUGUGUUGACAGAGACAGGGAUGGAGGAGCGGAAAUACCGUCACCUCUCGGUACUGAUUGCCGGGAAUUGGUGCUCCAGAUGUUGCACUGGAAGCGCUGCGAGUGUGAGCAGGUGGCAGUAGCUCGAAUCACAGCUUGUAGCAGAUGUUCUCAAUAUUUCUGUUGAAAUUUCCUGAUCUCUACCUGCAAGAGGAGCCUCAGAGCUUCAUCUUGGUGGUACCUGUCAUCAUUGAUGUAAGCUGUUGUUCAGCAGGGAGCUUUGGGAAGAGAAUUGGCUGGAUCAACAAGUCUAUCUUCACUGUAGAAAAACAAUUUGAAGCUCAUCUUUAUUGAUGUUACUUUCACUUGACUCCUCAUAAUUGUCCAAUUACAAGGUCUUUUGCAGUUCCACAGAAGUUUUGGUAUCAUCUUGUCAAGUUCUGCCAAAAGUCUGCUGAGGUUUUGGGAGAAUCAAUGAACCAAUCAGGGGAAAGAAUCCUUUGUAACAAUAUAAACUUCCUACUCCAUGACACUGGUGUCUGACUUCCUUUUGAAGGCUUCCCAGAAAAAUCUCAUCACUGGCUAAUCUGCAAAGGUCUCCUUGGAAUUCUUGUGGUGCAGGCCUGCUGCAGUCUUGCCUAAAAAUGCUAUGUAGAAAUGUUGAUUCUAGACUACCUGAUGUCCGGCACCAUUGCACACGGAGCUGGAGUCUGUCAUCACUGCUUCUCUGCAUGUGAGCCUGCUGCCUCUGGCCCCCCUGGCCCCCAGAAGCAAGUUACUUGCCUUGUGCUGCCUUGGGUGAAAGUAAACUUCCUCUACUGGCAGAAGUGGAAUGGCACAAGCCUCUCUGGUCCUCAGGAGCAGCCGCAUCAUGCUGGGACUUCUCUGGCCAUUGUAAUUCUGACGUGAAAAUAGAUCAGUGGAAACUUUGCACAGAAACAUUUCCAGUGUUCAAGUAAGGGCUUUGUAUAGAGGAGCAACACAGGCGCUAUAAUGUACUGCUUGGAGACCAUAAUCUAUCCUGCCCUUAAUGACAGCUUGUACGCGCCCUUGCCUCAACAAACCAGAAGGAACCACUGGCAAAUGGGUGCCACUGCUGGUGAAAGAAAAACAGCCAGAUGUACUGCUUCUGGGACUGGGGCAGAAACCCCUUGAAUACCUGCUUCAAAUCAACUUUCAUGUUUUAUUGUUGGAAAUGGACCCUUUCGAGGAUCACCGCUUCCUUUUGCAAAAAUGGAAAGGAAACAAGACAUGCACAACAUCACCCUGGCCUGCAGUUCCAACACCUUCAUGGAGGUCAUCUUCUAGACAGUUGUGCUUCAAUAGCCAGAAAUCAGCAAAGAUUCCACCCAUCCUUUCUGCCUCGGCUGCUCCUGAACUCAGUGCAACCCCUCCAAAUGAAUGUGAAUUGGAACAUGUAUUGCCUUUCAACUUAAUCGAGUACUUACCAUGAAUCAGUGCACAAAAUAGGGGAGAGAAAAUGAGGGCGACAAAUACACAUGGAACCUGCUUUUAAUGAAUCUACUAUUAGUUUCAGGAUGCAUAUUGUGUUCUUUUGUUUUUAAUUAGGUGUGUCCCUAAGACAAGAAACGAAUGGAAAAGUGUGUUCUGGAAGUAUUUUAAGCCCCAUUAAUGAGAAACAAAAUAAAAUACAACAACAGCAGCCACAAGAGCAACAAGAGCAACAACAAAACUCUAAUGUGAACAACUCAGGACUUUUCAAUUCAGUUUUUUUGAUGUUCUUCAAGUUCUGAGAGAUACGAUCCAUUUUAUUUUGUAUAUUUUGGUGGUGCUGCCAUAGGAUUCAUUUUAUUGAUUCCAUAAAUAUUCAGCAGGCUUUAGAGACAUUAAUACAAUAUAGUUUGAGUUCAUUUGAAUCAAAUUCUAAUUUUUUCCUUUAGGUGUAGAUUGUCUGUUGGAAAAUACAUCUAUUGCAUAUUUCUUGGCCGAAGGAAGGUGAAUUAUACCUGGUGUCUUUAUAGACAUCUGCCUGCCACGCCCUAGGCCCCACCAUUCCAAUGAGUGAGUAGCAAGAAAAGAAAGCUCAUAUUCCACCUUGGGGGUGACACCCAUGGACUAAGUAUUGCACAGGGGCCAGAACAGCUGGGCAAUGAUUCUCCAUGAAAUUUGACUAAAUAAUCUUUUCAGUAUUCAUUGUGUGACUUCUUUUAUUCCCUAAGUUGGAUGACUAUACAGUUUUUCUAGAAAUGUAUUUCUGAGCUGAGAGUAAGUUUAAGUUACGAUUUUUCCAGCGUUAUAACAUUAAUAUGACUCUAGCCACUAGACAUUUUAUGUAGUGUCUGUGACACAUUUUAGUAUGGAUGAGCCAACAAUAGACGUGUCUUUGUCUUGAGUAGUGUCCAUCUGAAUUGAAAAUGAACCAGCUUUUCUUUUUGAACAUCGUCAACAGACUUCUUAAUUAAGCUGCCAAUACAUACUGCCAAUAACACUGUGCUGUUCUAGAAAUAGUGUCAGUGCUGUUUCCACCGUAUUAAAUAAACAAUGCUGCUCCAUAUAUACUGGAUUUUAAGUGUUCUU